This 467-nucleotide ribosomal RNA is filed under the name uncultured bacterium. RNAcentral's name for it is "partial 16S ribosomal RNA". It matches the Rfam family "Bacterial small subunit ribosomal RNA", at positions 28 to 507 of the family's 1533-position model. The record is from RNAcentral.
GACGAACGCUGGCGGCGUGCUUAACACAUGCAAGUCGAACGGAAAGGCCUCUUUCGGGGGGUACUCGAGUGGCGAGCGGGUGUGCAACACGUGAGUAACCUGCCCUUGACUGUGGGAUGACUUCAGGAAACUGGGGCUAAUACCUACUAUGAGCUCCUGCUGCAUGGUGGGGGUUGGAAAGUUUCGGGGUUUGGGGAUGGAUUGGCGGCUUAUCAGCUUGUUGGGUGGGGAGUGGCUUACCAAAGCUUUGGCGGGUAGCCGGCCUGUGAGGGUGACCGGCGACACUGAGACUGAGAGAAGGCCCCGGCUCCUACGGGAGGACGCAGUGGGGAAGAUUGCACCAUGGGUGCAAGGCUGAUGCAGAAACGCCGUGGGUGGGGUGACGGUCUUCGGGUUGUAAAACGCUUUCGCUCAUGACGAAGCUGUGUGUGACGGUAGUGGGUAAAGAAGCACCGGCUAACUACGUG